UACAGAGGCCUCAAGCGUUGUUCGGAAUCACUGGGCGUAAAGGGUGCGCAGGUUGUUGGGUAAGUCAUAUGUGAAAGCCCAGGGCUCAACCCUGGAAUUGCAAAUGAUACUGCUCGGCUAGAGACUCAAAUAGGGGGUUGGAAUUCACGGAGUAGCAGUGAAAUGCGUAGAUAUCGUGAGGAACACCAAAGGCGAAGGCAGACCCCUGGGGGAGUACUGACACUAAUGCACGAAGGCCAGGGUAGCAAACGGG
This 253-nucleotide ribosomal RNA is filed under the name uncultured bacterium. RNAcentral's name for it is "partial 16S ribosomal RNA". It matches the Rfam family "Bacterial small subunit ribosomal RNA", at positions 524 to 776 of the family's 1533-position model. The record is from RNAcentral.